Molecule: ribosomal RNA, 253 nt
Filed under: uncultured bacterium
Lineage: Bacteria
Description: partial 16S ribosomal RNA
Rfam family: Bacterial small subunit ribosomal RNA
Source: RNAcentral
UACGAAGGGGGCUAGCGUUGUUCGGAAUCACUGGGCGUAAAGCGCACGUAGGCGGAUUUUUAAGUCAGGGGUGAAAUCCCGAGGCUCAACCUCGGAACUGCCUUUGAUACUGGAGAUCUUGAGUCCGGAAGAGGUAAGUGGAACUGCGAGUGUAGAGGUGAAAUUCGUAGAUAUUCGCAAGAACACUAGUGGCGAAGGCGGCUUACUGGUCCGGAACUGACGCUGAGGUGCGAAAGCGUGGGGAGCAAACAGG